This is a long non-coding RNA of Humulus lupulus (European hop), 123 nucleotides long. RefSeq lists it as uncharacterized. The record is from RefSeq and is a predicted model, not a curated record. The transcript has 3 exons. NCBI's taxonomy places the organism in Eukaryota, Viridiplantae, Streptophyta, Magnoliopsida, Rosales, Cannabaceae.
UUUGUCUCUGUGAGGUUAGGAAAUCAAUCAAAGAGACUGCCUUAAUUCUCUCUAAUGAUGAUGUUGAUGGUGGCAGGGCUUGGCAAGGCGAGGUGUAGGCUCGAUGCAUGGAGGUGGGACUGU